GUGGGGAAUCUUAGACAAUGGGGGCAACCCUGAUCUAGCCAUGCCGCGUGAGUGAUGAAGGCCUUAGGGUCGUAAAGCUCUUUCGCUGGGGAAGAUAAUGACGGUACCCAGUAAAGAAACCCCGGCUAACUCCGUGCCAGCAGCCGCGGUAAUACGGAGGGGGUUAGCGUUGUUCGGAAUUACUGGGCGUAAAGCGCGCGUAGGCGGAUUGGAAAGUUGGGGGUGAAAUCCCGGGGCUCAACCCUGGAAUGGCCUUCAAAACUCCCAGUCUGGAGGUCGAGAGAGGUGAGUGGAAUUCCGAGUGUAGAGGUGAAAUUCGUAGAUAUUCGGAGGAACACCAGUGGCGAAGGCGGCUCACUGGCUCGAUACUGACGCUGAGGUGCGAAAGCGUGGGGAGCAAACAGGAUUAGAUACCCCUGUAGUCC
This 425-nucleotide ribosomal RNA is filed under the name uncultured bacterium. RNAcentral describes it as "partial 16S ribosomal RNA". It matches the Rfam family "Bacterial small subunit ribosomal RNA", at positions 354 to 796 of the family's 1533-position model. The record is from RNAcentral.